AACGACUCUCGGCAACGGAUAUCUCGGCUCYCGCAUCGAUGAAGAACGUAGCGAAAUGCGAUACUUGGUGUGAAUUGCAGAAUCCCGCGAACCAUCGAGUCUUUGAACGCAAGUUGCGCCCGAAGCCAUUAGGCCGAGGGCACGUCUGCCUGGGCGUCACGC
Molecule: ribosomal RNA, 162 nt
Filed under: Afrocanthium cf. mundianum Bremer and Bremer 3772
Lineage: Eukaryota; Viridiplantae; Streptophyta; Magnoliopsida; Gentianales; Rubiaceae
Description: 5.8S ribosomal RNA
Rfam family: 5.8S ribosomal RNA
About the family: 5.8S ribosomal RNA (5.8S rRNA) is a component of the large subunit of the eukaryotic ribosome. It is transcribed by RNA polymerase I as part of the 45S precursor that also contains 18S and 28S rRNA.
Source: RNAcentral